UUGAACUACAAAAUUCUAAGCAUGCUUUGCCGAAAUUAAAUGCUUUAAGAUCCUAAAACCCCAGUCCACCGUGUUUCUUACUACAUCAGAGCCCAGUGAAUGUCCCGCUGUCUUAACUAACUUACAAAACAGGGGACUCCUAGAACAUAACGAAGCAUAUUGAUAUAAUUGUCAUGUAACAUGACAAUUAUUACUCCAUUUCGUUGACGAAAUUUUCAACACAGUUUAGUAAAUCACGUUCACUACCUGGAUCGAAGCCUCAAGCUUGCUGCUGGUUCACACGCUCAGUGUACGAAUCAUGAAGAAUAAUUCCGAAGAAAGGCUGGUUUCUUUUGUUUAGGAAAUGGUAAGUUAUGUUCAGUUCUUCGCGAGCUUCCAGAAAUCGAGAAUAGUGAAGAACACAGCGAGGAGCGUCUCAUGGCUGAUGCUUACUUCGUAGUUUUUCAAGUUGUCAGAGAAAGAACUUACAGCGGAGAUAUCUGUUGGUCUACCAGACUAUCAAUGCCCUGCAAAGUCCAGGAAAUCGAUUUUGACUCGGGCUCAAUUUCAGAUUACUUCACACUAUAGAUGUUGCUGUUCUUGUACCUGUCACAUUCUCGAUCUUUUUAUCUGAUUCUUUUUCAGCUGGCAUUAUGCACCUAGUUGCUUGAAUAGGUAAUAGCAUUUUGAGGAUCCUCAAUGUAGUAGCAUCGUUGCUGUAUCAGACAAUGCUUAUACUGAGAAGAAAUCGCAAGCCGGUUUUUGAUCCAUUAUACGGAAGGCAUAUGAAGCUACUUAUCCAGAUAAAAUCCUCACAGAAGAAAAGUACAUAACUCAUUAAAUCCUUCAAUCCUAACUGCUUGUAGGUGGCUUCAUGGGAGUAAGUUUUCACUCUGUUCUGUUACUGAUAAUUUGGCAAUCAAAGUUGUAGCUUUAAAGCAAAUUGAAUAAAACUGGAUGAUUUUUGGCUGUAUCUUGAAAUCUGGUUUUUUUACUUUCGUUACAUUAUGUUCGUUUUCCCGUCUAUUUUGAUCGCGGUUGCAAGAUCGUGAAAAUGGCCUUCGAAAAAAUGGUGUCAUUUGUAGCAUAGUGCUGGAGAAGCCUUCUCUCUGUAGGUUUAGAAAUGCCACGGAUAAGCUUAGACACCUUCAGAUGCCCCAAUACUCCAUCUUUAAGAAGUGAUCUUUAAGCCAAAUCGGCUACCAAUUCCAUAAAAUGUUGGCCCAAAGAGUAGUUCUUUUCUCAAAUGGAUCCAAAAAUAAUUCAUUAACCAAGUGUAUACAUAUAAACAAUUAGAUGAAAAUUUGAGUGCUAAAAAACUUAAGAACUGAAUUUUAAGUGCUAAAGUUUUUAGUAGUUUUUAUAAAUUGAUAAUUUAUAUAAUAUAGACAUGUGCUGGAUUUUUAAGUACGGAGGUGAUAUUUACACUCCAAAAUACAACUAAGGCACUCCACCCCCAUUUCUUAAUAAUUAAAAUGACAAAAACAACCUUCAACUACCCUUUUUAUCUCCCCCUCUUCUCUCUCCACCCUUUUACUCCGCUCAUGCGCUUGCUCUCUAUACAAGUUGUCCUAUUUUCUCGAUCUUUCUUCCACGGGCACCUGAAUCACUUCAUCUCCAUAAAAUAAAUAUCACCUUUAUGUCAAUUAGAAACAGAGAGAAAUCUAAGAUCAACUUGAAAAAAAUAAUGAAAAGUAGAGAGAGAGAAUAAAGGAGCAAACUACACCCAACAAUUCUUGACUUCUUUGGAUUUGAUACAGGGGCAAGAGGUGGUGGGGAGUGAGUGAAUGUGUCCAUAAUUCACACCAGGGUUACUCUUACGUUCUGCACACAUACUUAUUAUAUUUUCACUCCUAAUUUCACCAUCAGGUAUCCAUAACCAUUAGUGGUGAAGAAAAGAAAAGAAAAGAAAAGAAAAGAAAAUUAAACUAACACAAAUGAUACACCACACCCAUUAACCACUAGGACAUUAUAUAAUGUAUUAUACUACCAUCAAAAAUUUAUUAUUAUUAUUAUUACUAUUACUAUUAUUUCUUACAUUUUUAAGGAUAAUAAAAAUAUGGGUUAAUUUCACCUAGACCCCCUGAGGUUGGCGCAUAUUUCACCUAGAUAGAAAUUUGAUUUUUAGCGACCACUUAGACCCCAAUUUGAUUUUUGGCCUCAAACACAUGCGAAUUGACUUUUUUAUCCUCAAAAUUUUAAUACUACAAAAUAUUUUUAAUUUUAAAUGACAUAAACACCCCUCUUUCAUCUCUCUCAUCUGCGGUCUCUCUCACCCACCUCCUUCAACCACCAACACACCACCUUAAAAAGUGCAUAAACACCCACAAACAACCACCUCUGUAAUCAAUCAAACAAACCAAAUCUUACCCCAAUCACAACCCCACAAUCAACGCCCCUUAUUCACAAAAUCAGACCAUGUAAUCAACAACCAC
Molecule: long non-coding RNA, 2414 nt
Organism: Cornus florida
Lineage: Eukaryota; Viridiplantae; Streptophyta; Magnoliopsida; Cornales; Cornaceae
Exons: 5
Source: RefSeq, a predicted model, not a curated record